RNAcentral lists this transfer RNA (73 nucleotides) under Camelus bactrianus (Bactrian camel). It matches the Rfam family "tRNA". From Rfam's summary of the family: Transfer RNA (tRNA) molecules are approximately 80 nucleotides in length. Their secondary structure includes four short double-helical elements and three loops (D, anti-codon, and T loops). RNAcentral also lists the same sequence under 2 other names. The record is from Rfam by way of RNAcentral. Lineage: Eukaryota; Metazoa; Chordata; Mammalia; Artiodactyla; Camelidae.
GAUGGUAACAGCUCAGUGGUAGAGCACAUGCUUAGCAUGCAUGAGGUCCUGGGUUCAAUCCCCAGUACCUCCA